RNAcentral lists this ribosomal RNA (399 nucleotides) under uncultured bacterium. RNAcentral describes it as "bacterial SSU rRNA". It matches the Rfam family "Bacterial small subunit ribosomal RNA", at positions 29 to 429 of the family's 1533-position model. The record is from RNAcentral.
AUUGAACGCUGGCGGAAUGCUUUACACAUGCAAGUCGAGCGGCAGCGCGGGGGCAACCCUGGCGGCGAGCGGCGAACGGGUGAGUAACAUAUCGGAACGUACCCAGUCGUGGGGGAUAACUAUCCGAAAGGAUAGCUAAUACCGCACACGUCCUGAGGGAGAAAGCGGGGGAUCGCAAGACCUCGCGCGAUUGGAGCGGCCGAUAUCGGAUUAGCUAGUUGGUGGGGUAAAGGCUCACCAAGGCGACGAUCCGUAGCGGGUCUGAGAGGACGACCCGCCACACUGGAACUGAGACACGGUCCAGACUCCUACGGGAGGCAGCAGUGGGGAAUUUUUGGACAAUGGGGGCAACCCUGAUCCAGCCAUUCCGCGUGAGUGAAGAAGGCCUUCGGUUGUAAG